This 346-nucleotide unclassified non-coding RNA is filed under the name soil metagenome. RNAcentral's name for it is "partial contains 5.8S ribosomal RNA, internal transcribed spacer 2, and large subunit ribosomal RNA". The stretch from base 1 to 120 matches the Rfam family "5.8S ribosomal RNA", at positions 35 to 154 of the family's 154-position model. The record is from RNAcentral.
GAUGAAGAACGCAGCAAAAUGCGAUAAGUAAUGUGAAUUGCAGAAUUCAGUGAAUCAUCGAAUCUUUGAACGCACAUUGCGCCCGCCAGUAUUCUGGCGGGCAUGCCUGUUCGAGCGUCAUUCCAACCCUCAAGCCCUCGGGUUUGGUGUUGGGGAUCGGCGAGCCUUUCUGGCAAGCCGGCCCCGAAAUCUAGUGGCGGUCUCGCUGCAGCCUCCAUUGCGUAGUAGUAAAACCCUCGCAACUGGAACGCGGCGCGGCCAAGCCGUUAAACCCCCAACUUCUGAAUGUUGACCUCGGAUCAGGUAGGAAUACCCGCUGAACUUAAGCAUAUCAAUAAGCGGAGGA